AUUGAACGCUGGCGGCAGGCCUAACACAUGCAAGUCGAACGGUAACAGGGAUCAGCUUGCUGAUUCGCUGACGAGUGGCGGACGGGUGAGUAAUGUCUGGGAAACUGCCUGAUGGAGGGGGAUAACUACUGGAAACGGUAGCUAAUACCGCAUAACGUCGCAAGACCAAAGAGGGGGACCUUCGGGCCUCUUGCCAUCGGAUGUGCCCAGAUGGGAUUAGCUAGUAGGUGUGGUAACGGCUCACCUAGGCGACGAUCCCUAGCUGGUCUGAGAGGAUGACCAGCCACACUGGAACUGAGACACGGUCCAGACUCCUACGGGAGGCAGCAGUGGGGAAUAUUGCACAAUGGGCGCAAGCCUGAUGCGGCCAUGCCGCGUGUAUGAAGAAGGCCUUCGGGUUGUAAAGUACUUUCAGCGGGGAGGAAGGGAGUAAAGUUAAUACCUUUGCUCAUUGACGUUACCCGCAGAAGAAGCACCGGCUAACUCCGUG
RNAcentral lists this ribosomal RNA (490 nucleotides) under uncultured bacterium. RNAcentral's name for it is "partial 16S ribosomal RNA". It matches the Rfam family "Bacterial small subunit ribosomal RNA", at positions 30 to 507 of the family's 1533-position model. The record is from RNAcentral.